RNAcentral lists this ribosomal RNA (406 nucleotides) under uncultured bacterium. Its description in RNAcentral is "bacterial SSU rRNA". It matches the Rfam family "Bacterial small subunit ribosomal RNA", at positions 355 to 776 of the family's 1533-position model. The record is from RNAcentral.
UAGGGAAUAUUGCACAAUGGGGGAAACCCUGAUGCAGCCAUGCCGCGUGUGUGAAGAAGGUCUUCGGAUUGUAAAGCACUUUCAGUGGGGAGGAAAAACUGACGUUACCCACAGAAGAAGCACCGGCUAACUCCGUGCCAGCAGCCGCGGUAAUACGGAGGGUGCAAGCGUUAAGCGGAAUAACUGGGCGUAAAGGGCAUGUAGGCGGAAAAGCAAGUAAGAUGUGAAAUACCUGGGCUUAACCUAGGUUGGUCAUUUUAAACUACUUUUCUAGAGUAUCGCAGAGGGAGAUGGAAUUUCAGGUGUAGCGGUGGAAUGCGUAGAUAUCUGAAAGAACACCAGUGGCGAAGGCGAUCUUCUGGGCGAAUACUGACGCUGAGGUGCGAAAGCGUGGGGAGCAAAUAUG